GCACUGUUGAGAAGUCCCACAAUAGGACGAAACAGCUGUCCAGUAC
Molecule: non-coding RNA, 46 nt
Filed under: Schistosoma mansoni
Lineage: Eukaryota; Metazoa; Platyhelminthes; Trematoda; Strigeidida; Schistosomatidae
Source: RNAcentral